GCAUGCGUGGCGGAAUGGCAGACGCGCUAGACUUAGGAUCUAGUAUUUAACGAUGUGGGGGUUCAAGUCCCUUCGCAUGCACCA
Molecule: transfer RNA, 84 nt
Filed under: Mycoplasmataceae bacterium
Lineage: Bacteria; Bacillati; Mycoplasmatota; Mollicutes; Mycoplasmatales; Mycoplasmataceae
Description: tRNA-Leu
Rfam family: tRNA
About the family: Transfer RNA (tRNA) molecules are approximately 80 nucleotides in length. Their secondary structure includes four short double-helical elements and three loops (D, anti-codon, and T loops).
Source: RNAcentral